UGGGGAAUAUUGCACAAUGGGCGCAAGCCUGAUGCAGCCAUGCCGCGUGUAUGAAGAAGGCCUUCGGGUUGUAAUGUACUUUCAGCGGGGAGGAAGGGAGUAAAGUUAAUACCUUUGCUCAUUGACGUUACCCGCAGAAGAAGCACCGGCUAACUCCGUGCCAGCAGCCGCGGUAAUACGGAGGGUGCAAGCGUUAAUCGGAAUUACUGGGCGUAAAGCGCACGCAGGCGGUUUGUUAAGUCAGAUGUGAAAUCCCCGGGCUCAACCUGGGAACUGCAUCUGAUACUGGCAAGCUUGAGUCUCGUAGAGGGGGGUAGAAUUCCAGGUGUAGCGGUGAGAUGCGUAGAGAUCUGGAGGAAUACCGGUGGCGAAGGCGGCCCCCUGGACGAAGACUGACGCUCAGGUGCGAAAGCGUGGGGAGCAAACAGG
Molecule: ribosomal RNA, 429 nt
Filed under: Chloroflexota bacterium
Lineage: Bacteria; Bacillati; Chloroflexota
Description: Chloroflexi bacterium partial 16S ribosomal RNA
Rfam family: Bacterial small subunit ribosomal RNA
Source: RNAcentral